GCUAACUAUCAAGCCUAUAAACUACUUAGUUGCUUCCCCCAACCACCAUAAAAUAAAACAUUUUACUGUUUAAGUAGAGGCGAUUAAAAAAACUCUAAGAGCUUCAACCCUAGUACCGCAAGGGAAAGAUGAAAUAUUAUGAAAUAAAAUAAAGCACAAUAUAGUAGAGAUUAAUACUCGUACCUUUUGCAUCAUGGUCUAGCAAGUCAUUAUCAAGCAAAGAGCCCCUCAAGUUUGAUUUCCCGAAACUAGGCGAGCUACUUCAAAACAGCAUCUAGAGCCAACCCGUCUCUGUGGCAAAAGAGUGGGAAGAUUUUCAAGUAGUGGUGAUAAGCCUACCGAGCCUAGAGAUAGCUGGUUAUUCAAGAAAAGAAUUUUAGUUCUACCUUAAGCUUAAAUAUGAACACAAACAAAAUAUUGUACUUAAGAGCUAUUCAAAUAAGGCACAGCUUAUUUGAAAAAGGUUACAACCUAGACUUUAGGGUAAAAUAUAAUAAACUUAAUAAAGUGGGCCUAAAAGCAGCCACCUUUCAAAAAGCGUUAAAGCUUCACUUUUGAUUUAUAAAAUCCCACCUAUCACCAUCAACCCAUCACCAGUAUUGAAUAACUUCAUAAAUUAUGAAAAUUACCAUGCUAGAACUAGUAACAAGAAAAUGCUAUUUCUCCAAAGUGUAAACAUAAACCAAAAUGGACAACCCAUUGGUACCUAACGAUUCUGAACCAACUAUAGCAAACACCUAGAAAACCCUAUAUUUAAUAUCGUUAACCUUACACAAGAACUCUUCUGGAAAGAUUAAAAGGGGUAAGAAGGAACUCGGCAAACUCUAACCCCGCCUGUUUACCAAAAACAUCGCCUCUUGCUAAGACAUAAGAGGUCUAGCCUGCCCAGUGUUUUAAUCAACGGCCGCGUGAUUUAAGCGCGCGAAGGUAGCAUAAUCAUUUGUCCUUUAAAUGGGGACUCGUAUCAAUGGCAUCACGAGGGUUAUACUGUCUCCUUUCCCCAAUCAGUGAAACUAAUCCCCCUGUGAAAAAGCAGGAAUGAAACUAUAAGACGAGAAGACCCCAUGGAGCUUAAAACAUGACAACAACCCUAAUAAUAUCACCAAUAUAAUUUUAAGCCCUGUAUGUUAGUUUUAGGUUGGGGUGACCGCGGAAUAAAGCAAAACUUCCACAACGUAAAGGGUUUACAUCCUUACUUAAGAGAUACCUCUCUAAAAAUUAUUAACAUAACGUCCAAUGACCCGACCAUCGAUCAACGGACCAAGUUACCCUGGGGAUAACAGCGCAAUCCAUUUUAAGAGCUCCUAUCGACAAAUGGGCUUACGACCUCGAUGUUGGAUCAGGAUAUCCAAGUGGUGCAGCCGCUACUAAAGGUUUGUUUGUUCAACAAUUAAAAUC
Molecule: ribosomal RNA, 1398 nt
Filed under: Occidozyga laevis
Lineage: Eukaryota; Metazoa; Chordata; Amphibia; Anura; Dicroglossidae
Description: partial 16S large subunit ribosomal RNA
Rfam family: Bacterial large subunit ribosomal RNA
Source: RNAcentral